GCAGGAGAAAAAGAGGCUGUUUGCUCACAGACCAUUUCAUUCUGGGAAGUCCCGUGCCUCAAAUCUAUGUAGUUUACCUAAGACUGUAAAGGAUUUUUGCAGUCACUGUUUUGGCCAUUUCUACUGCCUCCACUUUCCGUUAUGUCUCCUCCCAGGCAGUCUAGGAAUUUCCUGAUAGAGUUGAAAUGGAGCAAUAAGUACAGAUUUUCCUGAGUGUCCCACAGACACGACUCCAAUUCCAGCUUUUGAAUGAUCCACAGUAAACCAAGGAACUGAAUGAAUGACCAGGGAUCCAGUGCUUCAGCCUGCUUCCUGGCCAUCAUUGACAGCUGAGACAGUCCCUGUGUAACAGGACCUAAAACACAUAUAGGACACA
This is a long non-coding RNA of Corapipo altera (White-ruffed manakin), 376 nucleotides long. RefSeq lists it as uncharacterized. The transcript is spliced from 4 exons. The record is from RefSeq and is a predicted model, not a curated record. NCBI's taxonomy places the organism in Eukaryota, Metazoa, Chordata, Aves, Passeriformes, Pipridae.